UCCCCCAGUAACGGCGAGUGAAGCGGGAAGAGCUCAAGCUUAAAAUCUCCAUACUUGUAUGGCGAAUUGUAGUCUAUUGAGGCUGUUGUCAGCAUCGCGAUUGGGGACAAGUCCCUUGGAAAAGGGCAGCAUGGAGGGUGAUACUCCCGUCUCUGCUCCAAUCUGCGGUGUGUACGAUACGCUUUCUUUGAGUCGAGUUGUUUGGGAAUACAGCUCAAAGUAGGUGGUAAAUUCCAUCUAAAGCUAAAUAUUGGUGCGAGACCGAUAGCGAACAAGUACCGUGAGGGAAAGAUGAAAAGAACUUUGAAAAGAGAGUUAAAGAGUACCUGAAACUGUUGAAAGGGAACCGUAUCGUUUCCAGUGUUGUAUCCUAUGCAUAUUUCAUUCGUGGAGUAAUUUACGGGUGCCCUGUGCAUGGGUGUGACGUCAGGGUCAGUUUGUAUGCUGCGGGAGAUGGUCAGUGAGGAGGUGCGUCACUUCGGUGAAAGUUAUAUCUCGCUGUCUAGUAGCCGUGGUUGAGACUGAGGUGCCUACAACAUGCCUUAAGGUUCUAUGUUGUCUCGUGUUGGUGACUGCUUUGAUAGCUUGCUAUGUCUGUGGUUUAUUAAUGCGAUUGAUGAUGUGGAUAACUUUUGCUGUUCGGGACUCUGGCGAAAUGGAGCGAUACGACCCGUCUUGAAACACGGACCAAGGAGUCUAACAUGUGUGCAAGUAUUAGGGCGUGGAAACCCAAAUGCGUAAUGAAAGUAAAUGCUGCUUAUGCAGCUGUGGUAGGAAAGGGCUGUCAAGGUCCUGGCACUAUCGACCGAUCAUGAGCCUACGGGCAAAAGAUUUGAGUAUGAGCAUAUAUGUUGGUACCCGAAAGAUGGUGAACUAUGCCUGAAUAGGGUGAAGCCAGGGGAAACUCUGGUGGAAGCUCGUAGCGAUUCUGACGUGCAAAUCGAUCGUCAAAUUUGGGUAUAGGGGCGAAAGACUAAUCGAACCAUCUAGUAGCUGGUUCCCUCCGAAAUUUCCCUCAGGAUAGCAGCAACUUUUUACGAUAGUUUUAUGAGGUAAAGCGAAUGAUUAGAGGCCUCGGGGAAGAAACUUCCUCGA
Molecule: ribosomal RNA, 1095 nt
Filed under: Saprolegnia parasitica
Lineage: Eukaryota; Oomycota; Saprolegniomycetes; Saprolegniales; Saprolegniaceae
Description: eukaryotic LSU rRNA
Rfam family: Eukaryotic large subunit ribosomal RNA
Source: RNAcentral